This 560-nucleotide ribosomal RNA is filed under the name Peptostreptococcus stomatis. Its description in RNAcentral is "bacterial SSU rRNA". It matches the Rfam family "Bacterial small subunit ribosomal RNA", at positions 379 to 958 of the family's 1533-position model. The record is from RNAcentral. Lineage: Bacteria; Bacillati; Bacillota; Clostridia; Peptostreptococcales; Peptostreptococcaceae.
AAGCCUGAUGCAGCAACGCCGCGUGAACGAUGAAGGUCUUCGGAUCGUAAAGUUCUGUUGCAGGGGAAGAUAAUGACGGUACCCUGUGAGGAAGCCCCGGCUAACUACGUGCCAGCAGCCGCGGUAAUACGUAGGGGGCUAGCGUUAUCCGGAUUUACUGGGCGUAAAGGGUGCGUAGGUGGUCCUUCAAGUCGGUGGUUAAAGGCUACGGCUCAACCGUAGUAAGCCGCCGAAACUGGAGGACUUGAGUGCAGGAGAGGAAAGUGGAAUUCCCAGUGUAGCGGUGAAAUGCGUAGAUAUUGGGAGGAACACCAGUAGCGAAGGCGGCUUUCUGGACUGCAACUGACACUGAGGCACGAAGGCGUGGGUAGCAAACAGGAUUAGAUACCCUGGUAGUCCACGCUGUAAACGAUGAGUACUAGGUGUCGGGGGUUACCCCCCUCGGUGCCGCAGCUAACGCAUUAAGUACUCCGCCUGGGGAGUACGCACGCAAGUGUGAAACUCAAAGGAAUUGACGGGGACCCGCACAAGUAGCGGAGCAUGUGGUUUAAUUCGAAGCA